UACAUAGGGGGCGAGCGUUGUCCGGAUUUAUUGGGCGUAAAGAGCGUGUAGGCGGCCAGGUAGGUCUGCUGUGAAAACUCGAGGCUCAACCUCGAGACGUCGGCGGAAACCAUCUGGCUAGAGUCCGGAAGAGGAGAGUGGAAUUCCUGGUGUAGCGGUGAAAUGCGCAGAUAUCAGGAAGAACACCCGUGGCGAAGGCGGCUCUCUGGGACGGUACUGACGCUGAGACGCGAAAGCGUGGGGAGCGAACAGG
This 253-nucleotide ribosomal RNA is filed under the name uncultured bacterium. RNAcentral's name for it is "partial 16S ribosomal RNA". It matches the Rfam family "Bacterial small subunit ribosomal RNA", at positions 524 to 776 of the family's 1533-position model. The record is from RNAcentral.